This 306-nucleotide ribosomal RNA is filed under the name uncultured bacterium. Its description in RNAcentral is "partial 16S ribosomal RNA". It matches the Rfam family "Bacterial small subunit ribosomal RNA", at positions 507 to 809 of the family's 1533-position model. The record is from RNAcentral.
GACAGCAGCCGCCGCGGUAAUACAGAGGGUGCGAGCGUUAAUCGGAUUUACUGGGCGUAAAGCGUGCGUAGGCGGCUUCUUAAGUCGGAUGUGAAAUCCCUGAGCUUAACUUAGGAAUUGCAUUCGAUACUGGGAAGCUAGAGUAUGGGAGAGGAUGGUAGAAUUCCAGGUGUAGCGGUGAAAUGCGUAGAGAUCUGGAGGAAUACCGAUGGCGAAGGCAGCCAUCUGGCCUAAUACUGACGCUGAGGUACGAAAGCAUGGGGAGCAAACAGGAUUAGAUACCCGAGUAGUCCCUGUCUCUUAUAA